Molecule: ribosomal RNA, 253 nt
Filed under: uncultured bacterium
Lineage: Bacteria
Description: partial 16S ribosomal RNA
Rfam family: Bacterial small subunit ribosomal RNA
Source: RNAcentral
UACAGAGGGUGCGAGCGUUAAUCGGAAUUAUUGGGCGUAAAGGGCGCGUAGGCGGUUAGAUAAGUUGGGUGUGAAAUUCUCGGGCUUAACCUGGGGUGGUCACUCAAAACUGUCUGGCUAGAGUAGGGAAGAGGAAAGUGGAAUUCUCGGUGUAGCAGUGAAAUGCGUAGAUAUCGGGAGGAACACCAGUGGCGAAGGCGGCUUUCUGGUCCACUACUGACGCUGAUGCGCGAAAGCGUGGGGAGCAAACAGG